RNAcentral lists this ribosomal RNA (254 nucleotides) under uncultured bacterium. RNAcentral's name for it is "partial 16S ribosomal RNA". It matches the Rfam family "Bacterial small subunit ribosomal RNA", at positions 524 to 776 of the family's 1533-position model. The record is from RNAcentral.
UACGUAGGGGGCAAGCGUUUGUCCGGAAUCAUUGGGCGUAAAGAGCGCGUAGGCGGUCCGGUAAGUCCGCUCUGAAAGUCCGGGGCUCAACCCCGGGAGGCGGGCGGAUACUGUCGGGCUAGAGUCCGGAAGAGGCGAGUGGAAUUCCUGGUGUAGCGGUGAAAUGCGCAGAUAUCAGGAGGAACACCAAUGGCGAAGGCAGCUCGCUGGGACGGUACUGACGCUGAGGCGCGAAAGCGUGGGGAGCAAACAGG